This 1010-nucleotide long non-coding RNA is filed under the name Equus asinus (donkey). Its description in RNAcentral is "lncRNA (ENSEASG00005033780.1)". Lineage: Eukaryota; Metazoa; Chordata; Mammalia; Perissodactyla; Equidae. The record is from RNAcentral.
CCCUUGGCCCUGUGGCUGUCAUCUGGAAGCAGGAAUAGGGAUGGCUGUAGGGUGUCUGGCUGCAGGGCUGUCACUCCUCAGGGGAGCGUGUGCAGUUUUACUAGACCUUGGUGUGAGUGCCAGACAUCUUGCUAGCAAUUCAGAGGGCAGGAAUUAGGCCCCUUGCCAGGGUGCCCCUCUGUGAUGUGGGUCGAGGUUGGGACCAGGGCAGCAGCUGGCUCUGGGUACAGUCUGGGUGACUAAUUGUGACUGGGGCAGCAUCUGUCAGCUCGAUGGGGCAGAUGACUGUAGACAAGGUUCUAUACUGAGAAGGCACUAAACGGGGGCAGAGAGCCCCAGGAAAGGCGGUGACUUGGGAUGUUAAAAAAUGGCUCAACCACCUUCAUCAUCAGAAUGAAUAUUCGGCUCAAGUCUUAAGUCCAGGGAGGAUGGCAAAGAGAAGGAAACAGAGAGGUGGACAGUAGGGGGAAGCUGGCAACGAGUGAAGUCUUCAGACAGUGUUGCAAGAUAACUGACACUUUGAAUCACUGCGAACGCUCUACCUUUAUUGAGGAAUUGGACCAUCUUUGAAGCCACUGCUUUGCUUAUUGUGAUAAUACAUGGUUAAAUAAAUCGAUAGGGCAGGCUUUCCCCACAUUGCCAAGAGGUGGAAACAGGAUCAGAGGCAUUUGUGGACUUUCCUCAGGCACUGAAACUGGGAGGGAGAUAGAUCCAAGUACGUGAGGAGAAUAUCUGGCCAACAGUCAAAUUCAUGGCGGAGGCCAUGACUGUUACUGAGGGAGAGCAAGUUUGGCAAACAUUGCAGCCUGUAAGCCCUGUGGGAGACUCACGAUGCCCAAGAGCAUAGCCAGGGUCCGGAGAAGGCUUGCAUGAAAGAAACCAGUUCUUUGCAUAGCCGUGUCUCACUUUUCUUCGAGCAGCACCUGAUGAUUAUCCCCGGGGCUUGGAUUUUACGUCAAAUUCUCCUUAUGCUGAAGUCAAGUCUGUUCAUUCAUAGCAUCCUCCAUCAC